GACGGAGGAUGCAAGCGUUAUCCGGAAUGAUUGGGCGUAAAGCGUCCGCAGGUGGCAGUUCAAGUCUGCUGUCAAAGACCGGGGCUUAACUUCGGAAAGGCAGUGGAAACUGAACAGCUAGAGUAUGGUAGGGGCAGAGGGAAUUCCUGGUGUAGCGGUGAAAUGCGUAGAGAUCAGGAAGAACAUCGGUGGCGAAGGCGACCACCUGGACUAAUACUGACACUGAGGUGCGAAAGCGUGGGGAGCAAACAGG
This 253-nucleotide ribosomal RNA is filed under the name uncultured bacterium. Its description in RNAcentral is "partial 16S ribosomal RNA". It matches the Rfam family "Bacterial small subunit ribosomal RNA", at positions 524 to 776 of the family's 1533-position model. The record is from RNAcentral.